GAUGAAGAACGUAGCGAAAUGCGAUACGUAAUGUGAAUUGCAGAAUUCAGUGAAUCAUCGAGUCUUUGAACGCACAUUGCGCCCCCUGGUAUUCCGGGGGGCAUGCCUGUCCGAGCGUCAUUGCUGCCCUCAAGCACGGCUUGUGUGUUGGGCCUCCGUCCUCCUCCCGGGGGACGGGCCCGAAAGGCAGCGGCGGCACCGCGUCCGGUCCUCGAGCGUAUGGGGCUUCGUCACCCGCUCUUGUAGGCCCGGCCGGCGCUUGCCGACACAUCAAUCUUUUUUCCAGGUUGACCUCGGAUCAGGUAGGGAUACCCGGUGAACUUAAGCAUAUCAAAAGCGGAGGA
Molecule: unclassified non-coding RNA, 344 nt
Filed under: soil metagenome
Description: partial contains 5.8S ribosomal RNA, internal transcribed spacer 2, and large subunit ribosomal RNA
Rfam family: 5.8S ribosomal RNA (bases 1-120)
Source: RNAcentral